Molecule: long non-coding RNA, 819 nt
Organism: Harpia harpyja (harpy eagle)
Lineage: Eukaryota; Metazoa; Chordata; Aves; Accipitriformes; Accipitridae
Exons: 2
Source: RefSeq, a predicted model, not a curated record
UACUAAUUGAAGACAGCCAAAUGGUAAUGUAACCCCAGGCCCAAACUACAUGCGGAAUUUUAUUUAUUUAGUUAGUUACCACUCAGAAACAGUUAAAAGUCUCACUUGCAACAAGAUAAAACUUCUGCAGUUGAUACUGCAGCUCUGAGAAGCACUGAUCAAGGCAAGAAUAUCAGCAGUAAAGGAGAACAUGGUAUCUUUGCAGUGCUGACAACAACGGAUUCGGUCAUCAUCCUUCUCAUCCAGAACUGAGCUCACACUGCUUAUGCUGCUAAUGCUGCCACGGCGGGAGCCAUGGACACUAUUAGGUGAGGAGUUUGGGCUAGUAUGAGAACCCAAGGACUCUUUGCUGGCACUAGCCAGUUUGCCUAGAAAUUAUAGACAGGUGAUUUUACAGUGACUGGAGAAGCCAACAGAUUCUACCAAUAUGAAUGAAUUGCACUUGAACAGAAACUUUACAUUCAGGUAAUAAUAGAAAACCAAGCUGAAACAGUCUGCUGAAAGACAUGCAAGGAACCCAUGACAACCAAGACUGCAAGUCAGAAUUUGGGUCUUCACUGUAAGUCCUGCUCCAUUCUAAAAGCAGCUAGAGAGCAGACUGCUGAGAACCACCUACUUUGCUUCUGCCUAGAGGCAUUCUCAUGUUGGGAGCUUGUAUAGUUGUAGAACAAUGUGUGGAAGAACAGGUAUGUUAAUGCUGUCCAUGUUUUGUGCUUGAACACUCCAAAAAGCCCACUUAAUGUAAUUUAUUUCCACAGAAAAUACAGUCUCCUCUCCAAUGCACUAGAUGAGAAAAUUAAAGUUCUAAGGUUUCUUAAA